CAGUCGCCGCGGGAAUACAGAGGGUGCGAGCGUUAAUCGGAUUUACUGGGCGUAAAGCGUGCGUAGGCGGCUUUUUAAGUCGGAUGUGAAAUCCCUGAGCUUAACUUAGGAAUUGCAUUCGAUACUGGGAAGCUAGAGUAUGGGAGAGGAUGGUAGAAUUCCAGGUGUAGCGGUGAAAUGCGUAGAGAUCUGGAGGAAUACCGAUGGCGAAGGCAGCCAUCUGGCCUAAUACUGACGCUGAGGUACGAAAGCAUGGGGAGCAAACAGGAUUAGAUUCCCCAGUAGUCCCUGUCUCUUAUAC
RNAcentral lists this ribosomal RNA (301 nucleotides) under uncultured bacterium. RNAcentral describes it as "partial 16S ribosomal RNA". It matches the Rfam family "Bacterial small subunit ribosomal RNA", at positions 509 to 807 of the family's 1533-position model. The record is from RNAcentral.